AAGACUUUAGUAAAAUAUAAUUAUACUGCUUUGUCAAGGCAGAGUCGUGGGUUAAAACCCCACACGUCUUG
Molecule: transfer RNA, 71 nt
Filed under: Draconetta xenica
Lineage: Eukaryota; Metazoa; Chordata; Actinopteri; Syngnathiformes; Draconettidae
Description: tRNA-Asp
Rfam family: tRNA
About the family: Transfer RNA (tRNA) molecules are approximately 80 nucleotides in length. Their secondary structure includes four short double-helical elements and three loops (D, anti-codon, and T loops).
Source: RNAcentral